AGGGCGCAUGGUGAAUGCCUUGGCACUAGGAGCCGAUGAAGGACGGGACUAACACCGAUAUGCUUCGGGGAGCUGUACGUAAGCUAUGAUCCGGAGAUUUCCGAAUGGGGCAACCCAGCAGUUUUAAUCAACUGUUACCACUAGAUGAAUUCAUAGUCUAGUUGGAGGUAAACGCUGUGAACUGAAACAUCUCAUUAGCAGCAGGAAUAUAAAGAAAUUUCGAUUCCCUAAGUAGCGGCGAGCGAACGGGGAACAGCCCAAACCAAAGUGCUUGCACUUUGGGGUUGUAGGACUGAACAUUUGAGUUACCAAAGAACUUGAUAGUCGAAGGAUUUGGGAAAAUCCGCCAUAGAUGGUGAUAGCCCAGUAGAUUAAAUCAAAUUCUCUCAGUUCAGGAUCCUGAGUACGGCGGAACACGUGAAAUUCCGUCGGAAUCCGGGAGGACCAUCUCCCAAGGCUAAAUACUACCUAGUGACCGAUAGUGAACCAGUACCGUGAGGGAAAGGUGAAAAGCACCCCGGGAGGGGAGUGAAAUAGUUCCUGAAACCAUGUGCCUACAAUAAGUCAGAGCGCGUUAAUGCGUGAUGGCGUGCCUUUUGUAGAAUGAACCGGCGAGUUAUGAUCCCGUGCAAGGUUAAGACUAAAAAGUCGGAGCCGUAGCGAAAGCGAGUCUGAAAUGGGCGUUUUGAGUACGAGGUUAUAGACCCGAAACCAGGUGACCUAUCCAUGUCCAGGUUGAAGGUGCGGUAAAACGCACUGGAGGACCGAACCCGUGUAAGUUGAAAAUUGCUGGGAUGAGGUGUGGAUAGCGGUGAAAUUCCAAACGAACUUGGAGAUAGCUGGUUCUCUCCGAAAUAGCUUUAGGGCUAGCCUCGGAAUUAGGAUCAUGGAGGUAGAGCACUAUUUGGACUAGGGGCCCGUCUUGGGUUACUGAAUUCAGAUAAACUCCGAAUGCCAUUGAUUCAUAUCCGGGAGUCAGACGAUGAGUGAUAAGAUCCACCGUCGAAAGGGGAACAGCCCAGACCAUCAGUUAAGGUCCCUAAAUGUAUGCUAAGUGGAAAAGGAUGUGGAGUUGCAUAGACAACUAGGAUGUUGGCUCAGAAGCAGCCACCAUUUAAAGAGUGCGUAAUAGCUCACUAGUCGAGUGAUCCUGCGCCGAAAAUGUACCGGGGCUAAGCAUACUACCGAAACCAUGGAUGCGACCAUUAGGUCGCGUGAUAGGAGAGCGUUCUAAGGGCGGUGAAGCAAGAUCGUGAGGACUUGUGGAGCGCUUAGAAGUGAGAAUGCCGGUAUGAGUAGCGAAAGAUAGGUGAGAAUCCUAUCCACCGAAUGACUAAGGUUUCCUAGGGAAGGCUCGUCCUCCCAGGGUUAGUCGGGACCUAAGUCGAGGCCGAGAGGCGUAGACGAUGGAUAACAGGUUGAGAUUCCUGUACUAGUUAAGUGCGUUUGAGCAAUGGAGGGACGCAGGAGGCUAAGAUGUGCAUUCUGUUGGAUUAGAAUGUCCAAGCAGUAAGUCUUGUGAAGAGUCAAAUGCUUUUCACUUUAAGGACAAGCUGUGAUGGGGAGCGAAAUUUAGUAGCGAAGCGUCUGAUGUCACACUGCCGAGAAAAGCUUCUAGUGAGUACUUAACUACCCGUACCGCAAACCGACACAGGUAGUCGAGGAGAGAAUCCUAAGGUGAGCGAGUGAACUCUCGUUAAGGAACUCGGCAAAAUGACCCCGUAACUUCGGGAGAAGGGGUGCUGAUCGCAAGAUCAGCCGCAGUGAAUAGGCCCAGGCGACUGUUUAUCAAAAACACAGGUCUCUGCAAAAUCGUAAGAUGACGUAUAGGGGCUGACGCCUGCCCGGUGCUGGAAGGUUAAAAGGAUGGGUUAGCUUCGGCGAAGCUCAGAAUUGAAGCCCCAGUAAACGGCGGCCGUAACUAUAACGGUCCUAAGGUAGCGAAAUUCCUUGUCGGGUAAGUUCCGACCCGCACGAAAGGCGUAACGAUCUGGGCACUGUCUCAACGAGAGACUCGGUGAAAUUAUAUUGUCCGUGAAGAUGCGGACUACCCGCGACAGGACGGAAAGACCCCAUGGAGCUUUACUGUAGCUUGAUAUUGAGUGUUUGUACAGCUUGUACAGGAUAGGUAGGAGCCAUAGAAACCGGAACGCUAGUUUCGGUGGAGGCGUUGGUGGGAUACUACCCUCGCUGUAUGACCACUCUAACCCGCACCACUAAUCGUGGUGGGAGACAGUGUCAGGUGGGCAGUUUGACUGGGGCGGUCGCCUCCUAAAAAGUAACGGAGGCGCCCAAAGGUUCCCUCAGAAUGGUUGGAAAUCAUUCGCAGAGUGUAAAGGCACAAGGGAGCUUGACUGCGAGACAGACAGGUCGAGCAGGGACGAAAGUCGGGCUUAGUGAUCCGGUGGUACCGUAUGGAAGGGCCAUCGCUCAACGGAUAAAAGCUACCCUGGGGAUAACAGGCUUAUCUCCCCCAAGAGUCCACAUCGACGGGGAGGUUUGGCACCUCGAUGUCGGCUCAUCGCAUCCUGGGGCUGUAGUCGGUCCCAAGGGUUGGGCUGUUCGCCCAUUAAAGCGGUACGCGAGCUGGGUUCAGAACGUCGUGAGACAGUUCGGUCCCUAUCCGUCGCGGGCGUAGGAAAUUUGAGAGGACCUGUCCUUAGUACGAGAGGACCGGGAUGGACAUACCUCUGGUGUACCAGUUGUGCCGCCAGGCGCAUCGCUGGGUAGCUACGUAUGGAUGUGAUAAACGCUGAAAGCAUCUAAGUGUGAAACACACCUCGAGAUGAGAUUUCCCAUUCCUUUAU
RNAcentral lists this ribosomal RNA (2807 nucleotides) under Lactiplantibacillus plantarum. RNAcentral describes it as "bacterial LSU rRNA". It matches the Rfam family "Bacterial large subunit ribosomal RNA". The record is from RNAcentral. Lineage: Bacteria; Bacillati; Bacillota; Bacilli; Lactobacillales; Lactobacillaceae.